AGCGGAGCUCUUCGCAGCCUCGGGGACCUGUCCGGACUCACUUUCCCUUCCCUCCGAAACCACCCACCGACGCGGGCCGGGAAACGCUCAGGCCCAAGAUGGGCUCUGAGCGCGAACCAGGGAAGAGCCCGGAUGCUGCUCCUUUCCCGCCCCGGACCGGCGCAGGUCCAUCCAGAGGCGCGAAGCCUGCAGGCCAGGGAAGAGCCCGGAUGCUGCUCCCUUCGUGCUCUGCCUGGGGCCCAGGAAGCAGGAGAAACGGAACGGCGACGUUGGGUCAAGAACUCAGAGGGUGAAGGCUGGGAAGCCAAGGAAGGAAAGCCGUCCUGACCUCGGCGUCGGGGCUCCUCUACAACCCCGCAGGGUCGCGAAGGUCCUGCGGCAUCUCCUCUCGCAGUUGCCGCAGCCUAGCCGGCCGGGGGCAGGCGCUGGUGCCCCCCGCCCGCUCCCCGCAGCCCCAGCAGAGCCGGAGUUCCCGCGGCCGCCGCUGCCCGAGCGACUCGAUCGCCCGAGCCGACCUCUUCCCAAGCCUUGGACAGCUGACCCCUGCGCAUCCUAAAGGAAAGACCCCAUCUGUUCCUCAGAAUGGGAAAAUUCCCGUGCAUACUUUGCCAGAACCGUGUUGCUGAUAUUUCGGGGG
Molecule: long non-coding RNA, 637 nt
Filed under: Homo sapiens (human)
Lineage: Eukaryota; Metazoa; Chordata; Mammalia; Primates; Hominidae
Description: HSALNT0120310
Source: RNAcentral